GGACACGACACGGGGUGCCGCCUGGCGGCUGAGAGUUAGACCCGUUGAACCUGAUCUCGAUAAUCCGAGCGAAGGGAUGCCGGUCCUGCAGCAA
Regulatory RNA element from Arthrobacter sp., 94 nucleotides. It matches the Rfam family "TPP riboswitch aptamer (THI element)". From Rfam's summary of the family: Vitamin B(1) in its active form thiamin pyrophosphate (TPP) is an essential coenzyme that is synthesised by coupling of pyrimidine and thiazole moieties in bacteria. The record is from Rfam. Lineage: Bacteria; Bacillati; Actinomycetota; Actinomycetes; Micrococcales; Micrococcaceae.